GCUGGGCAUGGUGGCACACGCCUGUAAUCCAAGCAGCUCAGGAGGCUGAGGCAGGUGGAUCAUGAGUUCAAAGACAGCCUCAGCAAAAGCAAGGCCCUAAGCAACUCAGUGAGACCCUGUCUCUA
Molecule: small RNA, 125 nt
Filed under: Marmota monax (woodchuck)
Lineage: Eukaryota; Metazoa; Chordata; Mammalia; Rodentia; Sciuridae
Source: RNAcentral